UACGAAGGGUGCAAGCGUUGUUCGGAAUGACUGGGCGUAAAGGGCGUGUAGGCGGCUUUGUGCGUCAGAUGUGAAAGUCCUGGGCUUAACCUAGGGAUUGCAUUUGAUACGGCAAGGCUAGAGGUAAUGAGGGGAGAAUGGAAUUGCGCAUGUAGAAGUGAAAUUCGUAGAGAUGCGCAGGAACACCAGUGGCGAAGGCGAUUCUCUGGCACUUACCUGACGCUAAGGCGCGAAAGCGUGGGGAGCAAACAGGAUUAGAUACCCUGGUAGUCCACGCUGUAAACGAUGGAUGCUAGAUGUUGGGUUCUUACGAACUCAGUGUCGCAGCUAACGCAUUAAGCAUCCCGCCUGGGGAGUACGGUCGCAAGAUUA
This 372-nucleotide ribosomal RNA is filed under the name uncultured prokaryote. Its description in RNAcentral is "bacterial SSU rRNA". It matches the Rfam family "Bacterial small subunit ribosomal RNA", at positions 524 to 896 of the family's 1533-position model. The record is from RNAcentral.